This 564-nucleotide ribosomal RNA is filed under the name uncultured bacterium. Its description in RNAcentral is "partial 16S ribosomal RNA". It matches the Rfam family "Bacterial small subunit ribosomal RNA", at positions 355 to 912 of the family's 1533-position model. The record is from RNAcentral.
UGGGGAAUUUUGGACAAUGGGGGAAACCCUGAUCCAGCCAUCCCGCGUGUGCGAUGAAGGCCUUCGGGUUGUAAAGCACUUUUGGCAGGAAAGAAACGUCGCGGGUUAAUACCCCGCGGAACUGACGGUACCUGCAGAAUAAGCACCGGCUAACUACGUGCCAGCAGCCGCGGUAAUACGUAGGGUGCAAGCGUUAAUCGGAAUUACUGGGCGUAAAGCGUGCGCAGGCGGUUCGGAAAGAAAGAUGUGAAAUCCCAGAGCUUAACUUUGGAACUGCAUUUUUAACUACCGGGCUAGAGUGUGUCAGAGGGAGGUGGAAUUCCGCGUGUAGCAGUGAAAUGCGUAGAUAUGCGGAGGAACACCGAUGGCGAAGGCAGCCUCCUGGGAUAACACUGACGCUCAUGCACGAAAGCGUGGGGAGCAAACAGGAUUAGAUACCCUGGUAGUCCACGCCCUAAACGAUGUCAACUAGCUGUUGGGGUCUUCGGACCUUGGUAGCGCAGCUAACGCGUGAAGUUGACCGCCUGGGGAGUACGGUCGCAAGAUUAAAACUUAAAUGAAUUG